RNAcentral lists this ribosomal RNA (254 nucleotides) under uncultured bacterium. RNAcentral describes it as "partial 16S ribosomal RNA". It matches the Rfam family "Bacterial small subunit ribosomal RNA", at positions 524 to 776 of the family's 1533-position model. The record is from RNAcentral.
CACGUAGGCACCAAGCGUUGUCCGGAUUUAUUGGGCGUAAAGAGCUCGUAGGCGGUUCGGUAAGUCGGGUGUGAAAACUUUGGGCUCAACCCAAAGCCUGCACUCGAUACUGCUGUGACUUGAGUCCGGUAGGGGAGUGGGGAAUUCCUGGUGUAGCGGUGGAAUGCGUAGAGAUCCGGAGGAACACCAGCGGCGAAGGCGGCAUCCUGGACUGGUCCUGACACUCAGGAGCGAAAGCGUGGGGAGCGAUCCGG